GGGAAGUUUAUUAUUUAAUGGGUACAGAGCUUCAGGGUUGCAAGGUAAAAAGAGUUCUGGAAAUGGUUGUUGAUGAUGUUUGCGCAAUAGGAAUGUGCUGAAUACAACCAAGCUCUACACAUGAAAAAUGGUGAAGAUAAUAAAUCUUGUUGUGUAUAUUUCAUCACAAUAAAAACUGGGGAAAUUGAAUAAAUUCAACAAAAGUCAUGAAGUAAAUAACUCUUCUCUUUUUUUUUCACUUUUACUGCAGAAAGAGAAGAGAUCAUGAGAAAGUCACAGGGGAUUCCUGUUUCAGAACAACAUCAGAGAGAAUACGCUCAGUCCCUUUGUCAUCAGAAGGUGCAUGGAAAUGAAAUGAUGCUUCCUUUGACUGCUGAGAUAGUCUUUGAAUUUUGCAGUUCCAAUUCUCAGAAGACAACGAUCAGAAAUAACUUUGGAGGUGUUUGAAAGUUUUGUUUUCCUACUUCCUGGUAUUGUGCCCUCAUCUUGAAUGAAUUCUUUCUUUCUUUUUUUCAUUUAUUGACCAAUAUGAAGAGGAAACUGGUAAGUCCCAUGAAUGCAUUUCCCUGUGUGCUUAAGCAUGACUUUAUCGGUUAACUGUGCCUUUCCCUUCAACUUCCAAAGAUCAUCUUUCUCAAAUCCAACACGUGCAUAUUUGCUAUUCAAUCAUCCCUCAAUACUGCUAUUUGAUUUGUCCUGUUAUUGCAGUGUAUUCACAGACAUUCCUUUUAAGUCGAGCAUUUUUUACUAAUCGUAUGCCUCUGAAGUAAUGGUUUGUCACAGUGGCCAAAGUGAAAAUUUUGUCCAAGACAUGCUCAAGUCACAUGAUUUAGACCUACUUCACAUCCAUUAACAUGUCUUUUUGCUGAACAUAAUAAAAUUGUAUUUAAGUAUAGUUAAAAGAGAAAC
RNAcentral lists this long non-coding RNA (909 nucleotides) under Sus scrofa (pig). Its description in RNAcentral is "lncRNA (ENSSSCG00070006521.1)". Lineage: Eukaryota; Metazoa; Chordata; Mammalia; Artiodactyla; Suidae. The record is from RNAcentral.